ACCAAUCAACUAAAUAACUACAACCAAGCAAUCAAGUAAAGCAACCAAUCAACCAAAUAAGUAACCAACCAUCAAUCAAUCAACUAAUCCAGCAACCAACCAAUCAAGCAAGCUACCAAUCAAACAACUAACUAAUCAACCAAUCAACCAACAAGAUAAUCAACCAAAUAAGCAACCAACCAAUCAACCAUUCAAGCAACCAACAAAACAACUACUCAACUAGCCAGCCGACCAACCAUUCAAUCAACCAGUAAAGCAAACAAUCAACUAAUCCAGCAAUCAGCCAUUCAGGCAAGCUACCAAACAACCAAACAAUCAAGCAACCAACCAACUAAUAAUCAACCAAGCAACCAUUGAAGCAACCAACAAAACAACAUAUGAACUAACCAGCCGACCAACCAAUCAAUCAACCAGUCAAGCAACCAAUCAAUCAUAUAACCUGAUUGGUUUGUUGGAUUGGCAACCAACCAACAAUUAAGCAACCAACCAAUCAACCAUUCUUCCAACUAACAAAUCAAGCUGCAACCAACCAACCAAAUAACCAACGAAUCAAGCAACCAACCAUUCAAGCAAGCUACCAAUCAACUUAUUAACUAAUCAACCAAGCAACCAACAAAACAAAUAAUCAACUAACCAGCCGACUAACCAAUCAAUUAACCUGUCAAGCAGCCAACCAAUCAAUCAUACCAUACUACCAACUAACAAAUCAAGCAGCAGCCAACCAAAUAAUCAACCAACCAAUCAAGUAACCAACCAGUCAAACAAGCUACCAAUCUACCAAGCAAUCAAGCAACCAACCAACUAAUCAACCAAUCAAGCAACCAACCAACUAAUUAACCAAGCAAUCAGCAAAACAACUUAUCAACUACCUAACCAGCCGACCAACUAAUCAACCAAUCAACUAAAUAACCACAACCAAUCAAUCAACCAGUAAACCAACCAGUCAACCACUCAAGCAACCAACCAUUCAACCAUUAAUUUGUUUGUUUUUGAUGAGAUGAACAUCGGAGCCAUGAGUUAAAUCCAGGUCAAUAAUUGCUGGUGAUGACGAGGCUUCAACGCUGGCGUUUGCCCUAAAGACAGCAUUGCCAGCGGACGUUAAUGUAGCUGCUCCAUAGCAUUAAUCGCAUCUCUUGAUCUCCAACCGGGUUCUCGAGUGCUGCGAUUCCUGAUUGGGCUUAAAUUACGGUGAUAGUCGUCCUUGUUGGUAGUAUCUUGGAUCGGACCCGAUGAUCUUAAGAAGCUUGACCAGAUCACGCAGCAGAUUUCGGAUUCGAUUCGCGGUUACUCAACUGGGAUUACUGAUCCACAUCUACGUCAACUAGCUGGAUUGGCAGGUUAUGAGUGAGUGCAACAUCCUGAGUGCAACAACUUUUCGGUAGUGACUUUGGUUUUGGUUCCGUGUUGAGGCACAACAAAGUUCAAGUUCCGGAGGAAAUGGGCCACGCGCAACUCAUGUGGAUAAGGAACGUGCGCGCCUGGAGACCGCCUGUCCAGCUGUUUUCACGUACGGCCACAAUUCCUUCCUUGACCUGAAAACAGUUUUUAUUAAUAAUAAACCAAUAAAUCAUUAAUUUCAAAUUA
Molecule: long non-coding RNA, 1584 nt
Organism: Armigeres subalbatus
Lineage: Eukaryota; Metazoa; Arthropoda; Insecta; Diptera; Culicidae
Exons: 2
Source: RefSeq, a predicted model, not a curated record